CAUCAGCAAUGUAGUCAGGGUGCUGAGAAAGCUACCUGAGUAUCAUCAGCAUAAAAAUGAUAGCUAUUAGUAGCUAUUAUUGAGCUGAUAUCUUUGUCCAGAGCAGCUUAAAAAGGUAUCAGUUCAGGGUUAGCAGCUUCAACAAGGAUAAUACAUGUUGGGUCUGGAUAAAAAUGGCAGAAGAACAAAUCAGUCCUGAAGAGGAAUGGAAGGAAUAUCUGGAGGAGAGAAUGGAAGCGUUGCUCCUGCAGGAGUUAUUAAAGUGGGAAGAACAUCUCAGACAAGAAAGGAUGCUGAUCCUAGAGCUGGCUGAAGAAAAAAUUAAGAGAGUCAUGAGGAAGCUCCAAAAAGAAGAAAUUAAUGGGAUUGAAGAGGAGACCACUAUGGAUGGGAGGGAACAGAGUGAAGCAUGGAGAUGGCUGGAAAAACAGCUAAAGGAGGGGGUGAAGGGUGGUGGGGAGAUGAUAGGGGGGCAGGAAGAGAAGGAAAAGACUGAAGAAAAGGAGGAGUCAUGUAAACAGAAUAAUAAAGGGAGAGGGUUGCAGAUCAGAAUUACCAUGGCCCUGGUUAAAAUGAUGGAGACUCCUGUGAAGGAGAAAAAAGGCAAGGAGAAGGGACAGUGGAAGGAGUGGAAGAGUAGGGAGGAAGAAACCAAGGCAGAGAAAGUGGAGAAAAAAGGGAGGGAGAAGAAGGACCAAAGGCAGGACGAGUGUACUGAGUUAGAGAGAAAAGAGAGAGAGGUGGUGGAGGUGGACAGGCUGGAGAAUGAGGGAAACAACAGGAAAGUGGUGAUGGAAACGAAUAUAGAAGAAAACUGGGAGGAAAUAGAGAAAGAGAAGAAAACAGUGGCUGCAAUGAGGAGAGAGAUAUGGGGACGGAUGUAUGUGGGACAGCAGAGGACGGAGGGGACAGAGCAGAAGAAAGGAGUAAAGGUGGAUGACAUAGUCACGUGGAUGGAGCACACCAAGAAAGCAAUCCUGGACAUCAUAGGAGUGAUAUGGAAAGAACAGGAGGACGACACAAACACCAAGCUGUGGACCAGACCACCACGAACUCCAGAAGAGAUUGAGAAGAAUCAGGAGGAAAUAAGGAUGCUGUCUAUGAGCAAACCAAAGCUGCAGACAGAUUUCUCCAUAUUCAUGAUGAAUAGCUGAAGGACAACUGAAAACUUGUACAACAUCAGAUGGAAGAUAACCAUCAGCAGAUGAUGGCACACAUUACACUAUAACAUAAUCCAACAAAGACUUAGAA
This 1251-nucleotide long non-coding RNA is filed under the name Scleropages formosus (Asian bonytongue). RNAcentral's name for it is "lncRNA (ENSSFOG00015026673.1)". The record is from RNAcentral. Lineage: Eukaryota; Metazoa; Chordata; Actinopteri; Osteoglossiformes; Osteoglossidae.